This 395-nucleotide ribosomal RNA is filed under the name uncultured bacterium. RNAcentral's name for it is "bacterial SSU rRNA". It matches the Rfam family "Bacterial small subunit ribosomal RNA", at positions 30 to 417 of the family's 1533-position model. The record is from RNAcentral.
AUUGAACGCUGGCGGCAUGCCUAACACAUGCAAGUCGAACGGCAGCACAGUGUGUAGCAAUACACAUGGGUGGCGAGUGGCGGACGGGUGAGUAAUGCUUAGGAAUCUGCCCAAUGGUGGGGGAUAACUAGCCGAAAGGUUAGCUAAUACCGCAUACGCCUUUACGGGGAAAGCGGGGGAUCGAAAGACCUCGCGCCGAUGGAUGAGCCUAAGUCCGAUUAGCAGUUGGUAGGGUAAUGGCCUACCAAGGCGACGAUCGGUAGCUGGUCUGAGAGGACGGCCAGCCACACUGGAACUGAGACACGGGUCCAGACUCCUACGGGAGGCAGCAGUGGGGAAUAUUGGACAAUGGGGGCAACCCUGAUCCAGCAAUGCCGCGUGUGUGAAGAAGGCCU